GUUAAACAAUUCCUCCAUCCCAGUUUGUUUUCCUUGUGAUUUCUCUGCUAGGUUUGUGGUUUUGAAUCCGUUGAUCGUCGCUGUUGAGAAUUUGAGUUCGGCCCAGAGAUUAUCCGUUUGAGGUUUUUUGAUUUGAGAUUCAGUUUUGUAAUUAGAAUUGGUGUUUCUCUCCUUUGAGGCUGCAGAGAUCGUUUGUUGAUAUGUCGGUUUUUGGUAUUUAUCCAUGAUUCUCGUUUGUAGUAUUUUGUGAAGAUGAGGUGAUGCCUUCUUUUGUGAAGUCGCAGUUUGUCCGGUAGCGAUCGGUUUUGGUUUUGAUUUCUCCUCUUAUCUUCUUCUGUUAUAUAAGUCUCACUCGCUUCCAGUACCUUCUGGCUUCGUAUCGUUGCUUUCUUUCCUUCAAUUGGUAAUUUAUUUGGAAUAUGUGAUAUGGAAUGUAGGCUCGGGGUUCUUUGGAGUUCCUUUUUCUGGUGUGAGGUUCGGUUUGCAGUUAGUUCUAUUUUUUCUUCUUUGUUGAUUGCUUGUAGGUCAGAUGUUUCCAUUGUUUGAUCAGGUCUGAGUAAUGAUUGUAGGAGAAUGAUUAGGGGCUUCCGGUGGACUUGAUGAUGAUUAUAGUGACUUCCGGUAGGUGAUUUCUUCACAUGAAAUUGCAGUUAGUACCUUCAUCCUAAACAUAGCCACGGUACCUUACCCACUAACUACUUUUUAUAAAUAUCCUGCCUUUGAGGAUUGUAACCUCUUGGUUUCUCGAUCUUUGUUCCUGCCUUUAAAAAAAUAUUUUUUUUUAAUUUGUUUCGAUUGAAAUUUCUUUUGUUUCCAAUAUUCAACAUUUAUGUUAACAUUGACAGCAGAUAAGAAGUUUGUCUUCAUUUUAUUUGAUGUCAAUCUCUAUUAAACCUGCUAUUCCUAUCAAGCUAUUGCUUCUGGUUUUUCGGAUUUUGCAAUUCUUCAACUGUGUGUUGGUGAGAUCCAUUCUAGAUGCAAUUUUUGGGGAAUCAACAUGCUUUCUAGUUUUGGACGAUUCUGAGGUUGCUGUGAGAUUCCUCUGUGCAAUUAAGUACUGUCUUUUUUUCCAUGGAUGGUAUUUGGAGUUGUAAGUUUUUCUGAUUUACGUGAGCUCCUCCUCCUGUUUUGAAAGGUGUGCUGGUGUACACUGAUUUGCCACGCUAUCUGAGCUAUCAAUCCCCUAAAUUCUCAGAGCAAAUUUCGCUCCCAUGCUGACUUGCAAUUUCAGGUAAAUGAUUCCGUGAUCUAUUCUAGUGCUGUGUUAGAAGUAGGGAACAACCACAGCGUGGAGACUACUGCUUGGAUAUGAUAUCUCGACUUUCAUCUUAUAUGCUAUUUUGAUGCGAAUAUCCUUUCAACUUUUUGGUCUGGUCAUCAGUGGAUUCCGUACCUAGGUGUGGUGUUAGUUGUCAAGGAUACAUAGAUGGGUUAUCUAAAAUGUGAUCCGUUCUCUCUACAGGCAUAAGUGUCUUACUUUGGUGUUUGUGAGGGGAAGAUGCAGAGCAGGUUCCCCCUUUGACUAUAGGUAUUGGAUAUUUUGCGACUUCAAGCUUUGUCAAGAUUUCUGUUAAAUGGAAGUUCUCAGCUACAAUAAUUCUUUUUGCCAGUGUGUAUAGUAUAUUCUGCUGCCAUUAGUUUUGAGUCCAGAUGCUCGGAUCUUCCAUUGGAUUCCAUGUUCCAAUGGACUGAUGGAUGUGUAGAGACCCCAUGGUGAAAUGGCAAAGGUCGGUUGUAUGCACCUGGGCACAUUUUUUCUUGGUCCUAUUUUGUGCUUGCACUGUAAUCCGGUUAUUGUCAGGCCUUGAAAACAGGGGGGACUUCCAAUCUCAUCUCUGGAAUAUCUAGUGAUUUCGUAGUUAGUAUGGGUUUCGCCAACUUUGCACUUGACUGUUGCCUUUUUCCUGUGCUUGCAGCUGUGGGUAGUCUCUGAGCAGUGAAUACUUCUUUUCGUGGAGCGAUUGUUUGGUUGUAAAUUGUCGGCUCUCUGUUACUAUAUAACUCGCUCACUACCGAUACCUUCUAUCAUCGUGUCGUUGCUUUCCUAUGAUUGGUAGUUUAUAUAUUUCAGUUUAUUUUGUCUUGAUUUUCUGUAGGUUCCUGAUUUGCUUUUCUUUGUUCGUCUCUGUUGAGAAGUUGAGCAUGGGCCAUGUAAUUCAAGCGGGUGAUCCGGGUUUGCGAGUUCUUUUUGAUUUUUUUUUUUUUUGGUGUCAGAUUCAGUUUGCAGUUAGUAUUGUUUUCUUUUUCUUCUUUGUUGAUUAGAGACGGUUGUUUGUAUGUCAAUGUUGCCAAUGUUCGAUAAGGUUCUGGGUAAUGAUCAUAGGAGAAUGAUAGGGACGUUUUGGUGGGUGAUUUCUUCUCAGGGAAUUGCAGCUAGUACCUUCAUCCUUCUCAUAGUCAUGGUAUUUCAUGGAUUCCCCUUUACAGAUAGCCGUUGAGGACUUUUUUUUUGUGCUAUUGGUUUCUGAUUUGCGUCCUUCAACUGUCAAUGCUAAGAAAUGAGCCUGGCUUGCUGGUGUGACCCAUUCUAGAUUGCACUAUUGGGGGAACCAAGCAUGUUUUCAGGUUUUGGGCCACUUCUGAGGUUUUGUUGUGAGAUUCCACUAUGCAAUUAGUUCCGCAUGGAUGCUGGGCAUGUUAGCCGUUGUGUUCCAGUUCUUUUCCCAGUAGUAAUGAUGGAUAUAAGGAUUAUUCUGUGUUUUCUGAUUUGCACGAGCUCCUCCUAUUUUGAAAAGGGAUGCUGGUGCAUACUGCUUUGCCACACAUUUGAGCUUCACUCUCCUCAAACCUCAUUAUCUUUGCUCCCCAUGCGGACUGGAUCUUCAGAUGAACAAGUCAGUGAUCUAAGCCUAUGUGUGAGAAGCAGGGAAUAAGUCCAGCAUGGAACUAUUGGUUUGGAUUUGAUAUCUUCCAUCUUAUAUGCUAACAAAUAUUGUCUUGUUCUCGCAUCAACUUCUUUUACCUUGACCGUCUCAAUGCUUAUUUGGUCCGAUCGUCGGUGGAUUUUAUUCCUAGGUUGUGUUAUUUUCAAGGGUGCAUGGAUGGGUAUCUAAGUUUUGAUCCAAGGGGUGCAAGUGGUUCUACAGGUGUAAGACGCUUUGGUGUUUGUGUUCAGAAAGAUGUAGAGCAAGCUCUCAGGUCUUCGAACAUAGGUAUCGGAUAUAUUGGUGUCUCUUAGUUUUGUCGAAACUGCUCUUAAGCUCUCAAUUAAGAUAAUUCUUUUCACAAGUGUGUAUAGUAUAUUGUGCUGUCAUUUUAGUUUUCAGAGAUGCUUAUGGAUGAGUCUCUUAUGGUAUGGACACCUGAAGAGUACUCAAACUCAUUCUGGAUCAUUUGAUAGCUCUGUGAAGUGCUCCUCUACUUUAUGCGCCUCUUUACUUAUCUUCUCCAUUUCCGUUUUCUUAUGUUUUUAUCACGUCGGUAUGAUUUUGUUUGUUGGAUGGAUGUGUAGACCACAGGGUGACAGUAGAUCACAUGGUCACAGUAAUAAGUAUUAGAUUUGGAAAUUUCAAAGGUUGAUGUCCAGUAUUUGGUGCUUGCUCUGUGACCUGGGUGUUGUCACGCUCCGAGAAAAGGGGUUUUUCCAAUCUUGUCUCUGGCAUCUCUAGUGAUUUCCUAGUUGGUUUGGGUUUAGCCAACUAUGCACUUAACUGUUCUCUUCUUUCUGUGCUUGCAGUUGCCGUGUCUUUAGAGAUGUGAUAUCUGCUUUCCACGACGCGCCCUUGUUUGUGGUGUGCAUUAAGGUUUCUUUUGUUCAGGGCGCUUUGAGUAUGGAAAUUUUCUGUUCAGUUUUCUUCCCUAAUCUAAGUGGUUUCCUUCUCUCAUCAUAUGCUCUUAGAGAUCGUGCUCUUCUAUUAGUUAUGCUCUUAGAGCUCUUCUAUUAGUUCUUUUGCAGAAAAUGUAACAUGUCCGUGGUGAUUCCAUUGCAUGGUGGUGGGUAUUUGAUUAUUUUCAUUCAGCUUUUGGUUCUUUUAUUUGGUGAUUUAUCUGCAGCCGCAAUUGAUUAUUUCCAUUUUAAGGUGUAAUCAAGCUCUGCCAGCAGUGUCUAGAUUCAACUUGCAGUAUUUGUAGGGCUACCGUGCUGUCAUCCUUAUCUGACGUUAAUGAUCAGCAGAAGAGAGAGAUUUUGGAUAUCAUAGGUUUUGACCAGUCAUUAUCUUUACUAGUAUUAACAAGUCCGUCAUCAAUCCUACCCAUAUAUAUCACAAGUAGGCCAUGACAUCAGUGUGGAUGGAGCUAUCAGUUUGGUUUGAGAUCUUGACUUUCAUCGUAAUGUUAAUAUUGAUGCUAGUAGUAUCUUUUUCUCGCACCGACUCUUUUACCUUCACUUGUAGUGCUUAUUUGUUUCGUUCAUUAGUGGAUUUCAUUUGGUGUUACUUGUCAAAGGAUACAUGGAAUAGGUAUCUAAGAUUUGAUCCAGUGGUGUAAGUGGUUCUGAAGAAAUAAGUGCCUCCUUGCUGUGGUGUUUUUCUUUGGGAAGAUGCAGAGCAGGUUUUCAGGUCUUGGACUAUAGGUAUCGGAUAUUCGCGUCUCACAACUUUCUCAAAACUUGUAUUAUAUGGAAGCUCCCAGUUAAGUUGAUUCUUUUCACAAGUGUAUGUAUUCUGCUUUCAUUUUUAAUUUUUAUUCCAGAUGCUUAUGUCUGUGAUGAUCCAAGCUGAUGAGAUCUCAUGUCCUUAAGGGAUGGCCGGAUGGGUACUCAAAUUUGCAUCUUUUGAUAGCUGCAUAAAGUGCUCUUCUUUUGGUGUUCUUGCUACUUACCUUCUCUGCUUCCAUUUUCUUUUGUUCAUCACACCAGCUUUAUUUUGUAUGCUGGACGAUGUGUAGACCAGAUGGUGACAGUGAGGAUUAGAUUUUGAAAAUCCGAAGUGGUGUCCAAUAUGGUGUUUGCUCUGCACCCUGUAUUUUGUCAGGCUUCGAGGAAAGGGGUUUUUUGAUCUUAUCUCUGGAAUCUCCUUAAUUUUCCUUGGUGGUAUCAGUUUGCACUCAACUGUUCCCUUCCUUCUGUGCUUGCAGUUUCUGGGCCUUAGAGCAGUGAAUUCUUCUUAUGGAGUGCUCUUGUUUGUUGAUUUGCUUUAAGGUUUCUUUAGUUCAGGCAGAUCUAGGUAUCAAGAUUUUCAAUUCAAUCUUCCCUCCUAAUCAGAGUGCUUCCCUUCUCUCAGCUUUGGCUCUUGAUAGUGGUGCAUUCUAGUAGGUCCUUUUGCAGGAACUUUAACAUGUCCGUGGUGGUUUCCAUGCAUGGCAGCGGGUAUAUUGUUUUUUUGGUUCUUAUAUUGAGUGAUAUAUCUGCAGCCAUAAUCAAUUACUUAUAUUCUAUGGUGUGUACUUAUGUCUGAUCAAGCUCGUGCCAGCAAUGUCUAGGCGUUCGUGCAAUUGGCAACCCGUGUAGGGCAACCUUAUUGUUUUCCUAGUCUGAAGUUCACAGUCAGAAUAUAUUAACUAGAAGAGAUACAUUUUAGCAUAUGGCUGGUAAACGGGGUUUCCCCUUUGUUAAUAAAUUUUUACACUUGACAAAAAAAGUGAGUGACAUUUCAAAUCUAACAGAUUCCGAUCAAUUGAUGUCUUCACCAGGUAGUACUGCUCAUAGUUUUUGAUCAGUUCGUUUGUAGAUCUGUGUUGAAACUGUUUGCUAUCGGGUAAAUGAAGCCUCUUUGUUUGUAGAUCUCUUUUGAAGCAUGCAUAUUAUGUUUUAAAUAUUCGCUCAUUUGAUGACUUGCUUCUUUUGCUAUUAUGUAGAACUUUUUGUGUAAGAGAGAUCUCCUUCACAUUUUUUCUCCACAGAACAUUUCCACUUGAACAAAAAGAUCUCGAUUAAUUGAUUCUAAAAUUCUCUUAUUUUAAUUUUCUAAAUGAGUGCAAGGUAAUUAUUUUGUUCUUCGUAAUAGAUGUUCACAAGAAUAUAUAUCUUUUGGAACCUUUGUGAAUCUACCACAUAUGUGAUCAUCGUGCAAGGUGGCAAGUUUUUCAAAAUCUUAGUUUAGAGUUGGUUAGCUUUCUUUUUAAUACUUCCAAAUUAGCUUGUAAUAAUUUGCUUAACAAUGUUGAAUCAGCAUUGACUAAUAGGCAAUCGUUGUGCCAUUAUUCUCUGUUGUCCUGCUACGCUGUGGAGGUAUGUUUAGUCGAUUGUCACUUCACAACUAGUAUGAUCAGCCAAAUUUCACUUCACAGAUAUGUCAAUUUGGAUCACCGUCAAAGGCUCAGGUUAUCCCUCAAAUGCACGUGGCUGGUUUCUAUGUAGACCCACCAGGACCAGUUUUUUCUCGCUUUACUCUAUAUUAUUUUCCAACUCGAGCAACAUGCCACUAUUUGCUCUGCUUUCUGUAGAUGUGGUCACAAAUCUGUCAAUUUGGAUCACCGUCAAAGGCUGGGGUAUCCCUCAAAAGAACGUGGCUGGUUCAUAUGUAGAGCCACCAGGCUCAGUUUCUUUCCACUCUACUCUAUUGUUAUUUUCCAUCUCGAGCAACGAUGAGACAAUAUGCUUUGUUUUCUGUAGAUGUGGUGUGAGCUAGCAAGAUGGCUGAGUUAGCUUUUGGUUUCAUUACAAACUCCAACUCUGGGUUAGCUAUUCGUGUUCUCGCAUACUAUUCUAGUUUGGAUUAUUUUCUUCCUACAGGCGUAAUCUCAUAUGUGUCGCUAGGGUGAUGCUGCCUCCUCCAUUGAUCGAGCUAUGAGGGUGCACAGUACAAGGUAUCAAGGCAUUGUGAUAUUGGAGCUGUUGGUUACAACUUCAUAGCUUGGUCACUUCGUUGUCAAUGAUGUUUUAAACCAGUUAUAGUUCAUUUCUUAUUUCUGAUGUCGUUGUCCUUUGGUUUUUUGGACUUCUUGUAUUGUUGAUUGAUUAGGUCUUGAAUAAAAUAAAGGAGAUCUUCUAGGAAUUGUCUAACAUCCCUUUUUGAAGAUGCUGCCGUCUUUGCCUUUAUUCAUAGAGUAUAUCGCUCCAUUCCCCUGUUGCACUUCUAUGUAUGGUAUGUGCGCUUUUCAUAUGGCACGACUAUAGUGGAGUUAUUCCCAUUUUAUCUUCUCCUCUAUAUAUUUAUGAUCUCUAUUCCACUGGGCUUUGAUUUUCUCUGUUGCUGCAUCAUCAGAUGUAGGAAACAAGAUUUUGGUGAAGAGAGUUGAGCUAUGAUUUUUGGCAUUCAUGUGCUGAGGAGUUUUUUCCAAAACCUGUUUUGGGUAUUUUUUGGUGUGAUGCAGUUUCAAUUAUCUCUAGAGGUCGUCGGUGGUGAGUCAACAUGUGUAAGAUCUUUGCAGUUUCAUUUAGUUCUGCCUUCUUUCUCCCCCUUCCUUGAUGGUUAGAGGUGUUUGGUGGUGUGAGUAACCAUGUGCAAGGUCUUAAGCAGGUCCUACAUAAUACGCGAAUGAGAAUGUUCUGGUUUUUUUAUUUGAUGGUAUGACUCUUGUUGUGGAUCUCUUCUCAUGGCCGAACAUCACUAGUGGUGAAUUUCAUAUGAAUUCAUAUGUAGAAGUUGCAUAACCGUCCUGUAUGUUUCAAUAUGCAAUUAGGCGAGGUGGCUUUCGUAUUAAGCUUCAUAUGGUCCCAGAUGGAUUGGUUAAUUUGGCAAGUGAAGGAACUUAGGCUACUUAAAGAGGGACAAGUUGUUUGCUUGGGUGAUGUUUAUGCCUCACUUCGUAGUUACUUCAAUGUUCCUUGAUAUCUUUUAUCUAAUUUAUGAAGUAGCAGAAAAUUUGGCACCUGCAUAGUCGUAUGUACUUGGUAGAUGCUGUAUGUCAAAGAGCUUAGGUGGGUGGAAUUCCUUCGUAGCUUUCUACUUUUUUUGGGUAACAGUUUCUAAAAAUGUUGUGCUGGAGUUAUUUUCUGGUGGAGAUUGCUUCAGUGACGAUCUGUAUGGGAAGUUUUAGCUGGUUGCAAAACAUUGAUUUCAGGAUAUAUCCUGUGCUUGCUUUUUACAGGUAUUUCAAUAUUUCUGAAUUAGAGAAUCUGAUUUCUGGAUAUUAUAUAUAUAGUUGUCUCAAGGUGCUAUGAAAUUGCGAACUAUGUGUUUUCAAGUAACUUUUUCAUGGAAUGAACAUACUGGUCAAUCCCUCCUCUCGAUGCAGUUACCCCGUAAGCAAUCUUUCAAAAAGACUAGGACAUAACAUCUAUCAAGUAAGGUUCUGUUCUGGGCUGGUGCCAUGACAUUUUUACAUUUAGCUGCUAGGCAUCUUCAAAUUAACAUCUCGUCAGCUGAAGUCAUGUUCUGCUUUAACUAGCCAGGUCGCAGAAGUUGGCUAGUUCUCUUGAAGUCCUAUGGGGAAACAAUAUUUUCUUCCCCGUGAAUGUUCCAUUGCAGUCAAGGGGGCUCUGCUUUUCUGUAUCUGCUGGAAUUUCUUCGGAGGAACUUUCAUAUCAUAUCUGCUAUUGUUGCCAUUGUUGCAUGAUGAUUCAGGUCCUAGAGGGGCAGGGAGUUAGCAGGGUGAACUCCAUAUCUUGUUUAGGGAAUUUUAAGUGCUUUACGUGGUUAGGCUGGGGGCCAGUUAGUGCUACCACUGGUUGGAUGUUCAUUUUGCUCACAUAGUUCUGCUUGUACAACACUCCUUUACUUUUAAGGUGAAAGGAUGGAAACGAGGAGGACAUAGUACCAUGUGCUCUUUCUCCUGAGGUAUGCAAUGAGGUGCAAGUGUAUGUGCUGUCAAUUGAGCUUUUUGGGUCCGAGGGAGCCUGUCAUAUUUUCUCUCUUUGGAAGGAAAGAUAUCAGCCUUGUACGAGAUAAACUUAUUUCACCAAAUAGAUAAAAAGAGAACGGACACCCAGCUUAUAGGUUUUGUGGUUUGAUAUACCAAUGAUGUAGUUGAAUGUAAAUGUGAUUUCAUGUCAUCUUCUUUUGAGAACCUUGGACGUGGUAUUAUGCAAUGUUCUCGUUGGUAAAGGGAUCUCACAGUGGGGGAAUUUUUUUACCUGCAAUUUGCUUUUUUGUUUCCUGCUUGUUUUUUAAAGUAAAAAAAUAGUAAAUAAUUUUUUUUUGUUUCCUGCAUAUGCUGAAGCAAGGCGCUGUGGAUUGAUUUUGUUGCUUUAAACACGGGUUUUUUAUGUGGGAUAAUCUGAUUGAUUUUUUUGCUCUAAUUGAGGGUUUUUAAUGUGGAAGUGAUCUCUUUUGGAAGUUUCAGUUUGUGAGGGAGAUUCACUAGAGGGAGUUUGCUUAGGUAUACGGGAUCUCCUAGGAUGGUGGGUCUUUUAUCUUUGUUUUCGUAGGCAUGUUGUGAAGAUUUGCUUCAGUAUGCUGGAAGGUUUUGAGUUGUGAGAAUUUCCAAGAUAGUAUUUACAACCUUUUCCACCACAAUGGCUUUGCAUCUCGAUUUGACUGGUGAUUUUGUCCUUUAUUUCUUUCAAUUAUGAAUGUUACCUAGAAGGUCAUUCCCAAGUCUAAAUUUUAUUGGUUCCGAUUCUUUUGGUCUUGUGAUUGAAUCGUGAAUUUAUCCUACAUUCUAUCCUAGACAGUCAAUCCUGUGUCAUUUUGUAUCCCUAAGUACAGUCAUUGACUUGUAUCCAUUCUUCAACAAUUCCGCCAAUUUGUCCCUUUUAACCUAGGAGGUCACUGCUCAGUCUGUUCCUCCCAGUAUUUAUUUUCCUUCUAUAUAAUCCAAACUUAUUUCCAGGUUGUUCCUUGGCUUGGAGUGUUCGCGUUUGAGUUAAUGCAUUUUAUUGAACUGUUCUGGUUGUUCUAUGAUCAUGUCUUGUCUUGACACCAACAGUAGUUUGGCCUUGUGUUUUCUCUUGUAGCUUAGGUCUACUUACUGCUACAUUUUGUGUUUAGGUGACCCUUGUAACUCCGCCUGUCUAAACAGCCGGUCCCAAGCCCGGAUUAAGGAGGGGGGAAGGUGUCAACUGUUCAAUUAGUCAAUCUGUUCUUUUUUAAUCAAUAGAAAUGAUUUCUGGAGCUGCCUUUGACUGUAACAAACUUAUUAUCCUGCUUCUUCAGUGAGAAAGGAUUCACCAAUGUUUUUGAUGAUAUAAGGCGCAGUCUCUUACAUAUGCUGCAAUUUAUUUGACGAUCCAUCUUCACACUGAAAAUAUUGUUUCGUUAUUGAUGGUUUCCAACUCGAUAUUUACAGAGGUUUGGUGUUUAGCUGACAGCGUAUGGAUAUGUUUUGUCAGGGUUUGUUUUCUACAUAGUUGAUGACCCAAUAUAUAUCCUCAAAAGAUAGCUGAUACUCCUUCCCUAGCUGCAGUAUAAUACUCUUCAAUUGUUUGUUAUUUCUUGCUGGUUUUUCUUUUGUUUUGGCUGAAGCGCUGAUGCGUUUUAUGUACAUCUAGGUAUCAGUUUGCAAGGGUAAACUGUUUCAUUGUGUGCAGACUACCUCCGGAAUCUGCUUUCCUUCCAUGUCUACUCCAAUUUAUUUAUGAUCCACCUUUGCGUUUGAUAAUUGUUUCACGAUUGAUGUCUACGAAUCAACAUAAUACUCUUCAUCAUUUGCUAUUUGCUUUUGAGGUUUUCAUGAAUGCUGAAGACUACGUGCAAAUACCAGUUUGCUGUGGUGAUCGAACUUCUUAUCAUUGGCAAGAUUUGGAAAUGAUAGACAUGUGUGGUCUCUAUGGUUGCGUGCGGACACGUCCGAAUUUUCAGAAUGGAGGGAUUGUAGUAUUUGCAAUGAAGAGGGAUAGUAUUUUUUUUUUCCAAGUCUACUCUAAAUGUAAUGAUGAUCCAACUUUGCAUUUGAAAAAUCUUCCAUUAUUAUCAGACGUCCCACUUAAUUGUCAACUAAAUAAGGGGUUUGUGUUUGCAUUUGCCGCAACCCUUAUAUAUUCUCAUAAUCUUUAAAAAUUUCUUGCCUGCUUGCAACAUAAUAUUCUUUGCUAUUGCUUGUGUGGUUUAAUAUUGAUGUUGCAGAUAUUAUCCAAUUUCAGCUUGCAAUGUUGUAAUUAAACUGACAUAGAAUGCUGUGCCAGAUGGUAGUGUUUGGCUGAUAAGUCCUUUCAUGUGAGUUCCUGUUCAAACAGUAUUUUAACAGAGAGAUAGAAGAAUGGAUUCAAAAGCCCCUUUAAUAUCGUGCAACUUACCGUGGGGCAGCAGGUACUCUAAACUCCUGUUUCAAACAAUAGUUUAAGGUGAGUUACUUCUUGUCACUUGAGCUUUUUUUUUGGGUGUCUUGAAUGUCUAUUCAAAAGCAUUGAAUGCCAUGAGACAUAUUUCCUCAGGUUCCUCAGGAAGGUCAACACAUACCCAAGGAAAUAUUAUGUUAUAGGCUGUACCUUGAUCUCGAUAUAGAAUGACAUGCUCAAAUUGUGACAUUUGGCUUAUUAUUCCUUUCAUGUACAUACUUGUUUCAAACAAUCUCUCAGUUAUGAGAUAAACGAUGAAUUUGAAUGUCACCUGAUGCCUUAUGGCUUAAUGUAUCUGGGGCGUUCUAAGCUUAGGAUGUGAUCGGUCCGUGCUGUUAGGUGAACUUUGUUCUUUUGCCUUUUGGACGUCCAUAAGUUGUUUGUUCUGGAAGUAUACCUAAUUAGUAGGUCUGUGAUCGUAAAGCUACUAUAGAAGUCAAAGGCGCUAAAAAAUAGGGCCGCCUACACAUCGUCCGCUAAAUUGGGUGUUUUCAUAGCCGACAACACAAGGAUGAGUGGAGAGGACAGAUUACAGUUUGCUUGUGUUAUCUUUGUGAAAGGGCCCUCGAAUGAUGAUCAUAUCCUGGUCCACAACGUUUUAUGCUGUUGACUUAGCAUCAAGGGUCUUCAACAUUAAUUCGGAUAUUGAUUUAUUUUUAGAACACUUCAUAUUUAGAAAUCACAUACAAACAUUACAAUUUUAAAGUAAAAAUAUUUUAAAAGUAAAUGAAAAAUCAUAGCAUAAAUUUGUUGAUCCCCUGGAGGUAGUAAUGAUGGCGCAUAAAGUGGGACAGGAGUACAACUAGUGAGAGAAUUUAGAGUUUGGUCCGAAGAGUAAGAAAUUGUUGGUGCGAAGAUGAAAUUUUAUUUUUGGUAAAUUUUUGGUAAUAGUUUCACCAAUUUGGUGUUAUUUAGUGACAGAUCUUGAUUUAUCAACAAACUAGUACUUGGUCGCGAUACCUUCAACUGAUGCAUUAUCGUUGUACAGGUAUUUGCUUCUUUCUUUUUUGGAUAACUGAGAAGUCCCCAAGGGUCAGUUGGCUCAUUGUUUGUAACUCAGUGGAUAAUUGACACGUCUUCCAGAAUCUCCAUUAACAUGUUGGAUGCCUAAACUGUGAUUUUAUUCAACUUAAUUUUCAGCCUUCAACUUCUUGUGUUUUUAUUUUCUUCUAAAACUGAGCAAUAUGUUCUUUCACUUUUCAAGUUUGAGAAUAAUGGGCCUGCUCUUGUACCUUCCGAAUGCGUUAUGUAUUCUCGUUGCCCAUCCUUCACUGUACUGCUUUUAUCAGUGAACCUGUUACAUCCCGUACUUUUAAUACGUUAAGUUACGUCAUGAGUUAGUCGUCAUAAGCUUGGAGAGAUAGGCUUAUUCCUAAGCUUAUAAGUGAUUAUGACUAUGUUUAGCAAGUGUCAAAAGGGUUAGAGGUUAAUGGAAUCGAAGCGAGUGGAUUUUCGCAAUUGACUUAUGGACCGUACAUUGGAGGUACGAGCCAAUAUUAUAACCCAUACUUUUGGUGUAAUACUAGGAGUGCUUAACAUGCUAAGAAGAUCGUGUUAUGAGGUACUUGAGUCGUAUAAUAAUCGUAUAUUAAGUGUUGAAGUCAAGUAAGUUGCAUAAUAAAAGUUUGCAAAAGUUAUCGCAAGUUAUGUUCAUAAGUUUACUGAAAUUUGGGUCUGAUAUCACUGAGCUUUUCUCCCAAUAUACUUGGAGUUACGAGGUUGAUCCACCCACCAAGUUGAAGGUCUACGAGUCUAAUUUCCAUCAUAUGCGUGUUUUAGCCGGACUGCUGAGGCAGCCCACUGGGACCCACAUAGGCGGUGGAGAUUAUUUUUGAUGUUAUAAAGUGAUGCAGCCUUUUCCUCUCCUCAUUUUUCAUCCAAAACAGAACCUUAAGCUCCUAAAUGCUCUCAAAGCAUUUCCAUAUCAUUCAAGCAAAUCCUACCAAAGUUUUGAGGUAAUUCUUCCUUCGGAAUGAUUGUAGUACUUGUGUAAGCUUAGUUCUCGCUUGUUGUUAUUGAGCUGGAGAUUUCUGUAGGCUGAAGCAAGGUGUCUAAGGGCUGGAUCUUGUUGUAUAAGGUGAGAUCUUCUUCUCCUUCAUGUGUAUUAUUUAGUUUGAGCUUUUGAUGUGCUUAGAUGAUACAAGUUAACGGUCAAAUGUUGUAGUUGAGUUGAGGGUUGUUUAUAGGACGUUUUGGAGUUGUUCUUGUUGCUUUUGAGGUACUGGUUUUUUUUUUUUUUUUUGAUAAUAAAUGUGAAAUAUUGCCAUUAACAAACCAAAUUAAUACAUCUCAUAAGCACCUAUAACUGCAGUUCAUAAAACACUACAGUUGAGGCCUCCAGUAAACUAGACAGCAGAACAAAAAAACCCAUAUGAUAGUUACAACUCACUACCCUCUAGUAUUGGAACUCUAAUUACAUAACUUGUGAAGUAAUUGUUUGUAUAUCCUUUAACCUAUGUCUGAGCUCCUUUUUUAUCUGUGCAGUAGAUUCACAUUAGUGUUUCUGAUUAUGUUCCAGUUCCUUGCCUGCCAUGUGUUACAGAUCACUGCCUCCAUUAGCUGUCACUACUUUCUUCAUCUGCUUCCAUUUUUUACUCUUUAACCAUUGUAAGCUUUGUGUCACUUUCCUUGCCAUCAGUUGAAUGCCCGCCCAUUUACUUAGCUCAUUCCUUGACUCACUUAUACACUCACAAUCCACAAACCAGUGUUGCAUUGUUUCUACUGCUCCAUUGGCUCUUGGAAUCACAUUCAGCAGUGGUUGGAAUAGCUCGCAAAAUCCAACCACUUCACCUACUUCAUUGCCCCCAACCCUUUUUCGUACCUCUAUUGAAACAGAAUGGUUUCAUGUUCUUUCAUCGAUUGGUUAUUCCUCUCCGUUCGUAUCUCUUUUUCCAAUUUCGGUCUUGAUUAGUUCACAGGAUUGAUGGCCAAUUCUCCUCCGAACCCUCGAUUCAAUUGUUUUCCUGCCAGUGAUAUGUGCAAUUUUUGAAGUCUCUCUUUUGUAAGCAAUAUGUUUUGAUUAGCCAGCCAAACUACGAACCUGUGCUUUGGCUGCAUUGCUUUAUUCCAUACUAGAUCAGCAACCUGACAUCUCUCAAGCCCAGACAAUCGUGCAUUGUAACUUUUAGUUACCAAGUAUUGUCCGCUAGGUGUAAGUGUGAAUGUGUCAUUCUGGUACCACUGCUCCAUUAUAGCCUCAAGUGCAUUUUGUUUUCUCCAGUAGCAACUGCUGUCCACUGAGGGCUAUGGUUCCCAAUACUGUCAUUUUACUUUAUGUAUAUACCAUGCACCCACCUCGCCCAUUGUAGGUCUUUUUCUCAUUUAGCUGCCAGAGUAAUUUUCCCACUGAGGUUGCAUUCCGAUUGCUGCAUGCUUUUAUGUAUGGUUGUUGUUGUUAUUCUAAACUUGAGGAAUGAAAAGGCAAGAGGGGAGAUGCUGUCCGGCUUAUCGUAUAACGAGCUUGUCGCUCAUUAGCUAGUUGGUAUAUUUCUCUUGUUGAUACUAGUGUUAUUUAAUUUGUUGUAAAAUAGUUGGGAAGAAGUUGAUUCCAUUGUCAUCGUUGAAGGCUCGGUUUCAAAGGUAUGUUAGGGCUAUUUCUUUCUUUCUUUAGCACAAAUUCCAAACAAGUUUCCUUCCAAGUGUGAUUUGGAGAAGUAGAACCUCAUAGAUGUUCUUUCGUGUGUCCGAUGAUUCCAUGAACGUUCUAUUUUGUACUGCUCCGAUAAGAUGAGUUUCAUAUGAUUAUUGGUAGUCUUUUCCUUCUCCUAGAAAGUGUAUAUUAGCCAUAUCGGUACCCUCAAAAAGACUUCUGUAACUCGACGAAUGUUAGUUGGAGUUGACAUGAGAACUUUAUGUGCUUUGUAUUGUUGUAUGUUAUGAUAGGCAUUAUGAACAGGUCCAGUGGCAUGGUAGUUACAUGUGUGCUAGCCUGGAAGAUACGAGUUUGGUAACCUGAUAGUUAUGGACUUGCUAGUCCGGGAGAUAUCUGCUCGAUAAUUCACUAAUUUGGUAGCUAGCACAUACGUACGAGAUCAUAUUGUGAUAUAGUGGAGUGAUUGUUGUGUGAUCACGCAACUUGUGUACUGUAGAUUUAGAUGAUGUGUGUGUUGGUUUGUGUAUUACUCCCAUAGGCUUAGAGUAACGAGAUUACGACACGUAUCGAGGUUGGUAAGAGUAUAGUAUAUGCCUUGCACGUUACCCUGUUACUUGAGAUACACGUUCAGUUGUUUCCUUCAGCAUUCCUUCAUUUGAGUUCUGUACUUACAUUUGAUUAUCCUUCUUCAUAAGGUAGGGGUAAGGUCUGCGUACACAUUAUCCUCCCCAGACCCCACGUGUGGGAUUGCACUCGGUUUGUUGUUGUUGUUGUUGUUACUUACAUUUGAUUAUCCAGUUGCCUUACAUAUUCAGUACAUUCUUUGUAAUGACGUCCCUUUUAUGGGGGGGCUGUGUUUCAUCCUGCAGGUUUGGAUAGACUGACUGACGAACCUCCAUAGUAAGCAGUUUCAGAGUUCACAUUAACAGUUAAGAUCAACAGCCAUCCAACACUGACUUCUGUGUCACAUAUUCCUGGUCUGCUUGAAAGACUAUUUGAUGGGAGAACUAUUAUUGUUCUAGGUCGUCUAAGGCAUGUGCACUGGACAACAUUUUGGGGAUCGGCACUGUAUUGACAAAUGCGUAAGCUCCUUUUUCUCAACUCCCCAUAGUAGUUGUUCGUUCUUUUUCCCUUUAUUCUCCCUAGUGUGAUUUGGGGAAAGGGAUAAGAAGGUUGAGGGUUGGAAUGCAAAAGUUGAGACCUGUCCAUUGGUGCCUUCCUUCCUCUAUGUUUAUUCUAUCUUUUAUUUUUUGGACCCUUACAUGUCUACCCAACAGCUGAUAAAAUUUACAGGUCACUGCCUCAGAGUUUUCAAUUUACUAACAGUCCCUUUACAUUAUUAAACGAGUUGGUUGAUAAGCCUACUGGAAAGACGCUGCUAACAGUAGCGAAUUGGAUGAAGAAUGGCUUUGAAUCCCUCUUUUUCUCACUAUCCACGUCCAUGUCCUGCUCUUCUCAUACAGAAUCUACAUGGAUUUUAUGGUUUCUUUGUUUCUUGCAACCCCUUCACUCUCUUUGCUUUUCUUCUGUUCUCUAGAAUUUGGUUUUUGUUGAUUUGGUGAGGAGACAUGGGGAGCAUUGGGAGUGGAUCAUCUCACAGAAAUACUUGUUCACUAUAAUCAGAUGGUAACUGUAGGAACAGUGACUACUCUGGUUAGGCCUAUUUGGCACUUCCCUAUGUAGAUAAAAUUUUAUGCCUUGUAGUUAUUUACUGCUACCCAGAUUUCACUUGUGGAAUUAUAUUGGAUAUAUUAUUGUAGUUAUUUAGUGCUAUCUGCAUUUUCUUAC
Nicotiana attenuata is the source of this 16418-nucleotide long non-coding RNA. RefSeq lists it as uncharacterized. The record is from RefSeq and is a predicted model, not a curated record. The transcript has 2 exons. Lineage: Eukaryota; Viridiplantae; Streptophyta; Magnoliopsida; Solanales; Solanaceae.